Non-coding RNA from Gossypium hirsutum (cotton), 144 nucleotides. The record is from Rfam. NCBI's taxonomy places the organism in Eukaryota, Viridiplantae, Streptophyta, Magnoliopsida, Malvales, Malvaceae.
UGUUAAAGUUUUCAUACAUUUAUAUUGUUAAAACUGGAAUGUCUGACGGAAUAAUAAGACAAUUACAUGUGGCGUACCACAUACACCUCAUGUUGACAUAUUGGGGUCAGUUUUUAUUAGUAGAAAUGGAUGAAACUUUUAAUA